RNAcentral lists this long non-coding RNA (838 nucleotides) under Homo sapiens (human). RNAcentral's name for it is "PREDICTED lncRNA (TCONS_00086599)". Lineage: Eukaryota; Metazoa; Chordata; Mammalia; Primates; Hominidae. The record is from RNAcentral.
GCUCCCAGCGCUUCGCGUACCAGGAAGGGGACGGCGUCCUGAAAGGGACAUUUGAAAAACGGAGGCAACGCGUCUAUUAAUUAGGUGGCGGCGCCUGGGGUCGCAGCACUCCAGAGGCUGAGAGUCUCGCCCUUUUGCCUAGUGGAGGAGCUCGGCUCACUGCAAGCUCCGCGCCACAACCCCCCUGCCGCCCCAGGUUCAAGAGAUUCUCCUGCCUCAGUCUCCCGAGUAGACUGGGAUUACAGAAUGCUGGGGUGGAAGAGUUCCCAGUUUUAAAGGAGAAGUACAAGAAGACCUGUAAUUGUUAGCAAGAUAUACAGAACACAGUGCACACAGCAGCGCACUUCUCAAGUCAGCUCCAGGUUCAAGCUCAAAGGCCUAAAGUUUUGCAAACAUCUGGUGAAGAGGAAGAUUUUUGAGACUCUCCCAGCCUAUUACAUAAAGGAAACAUAACCGAGAAUUUUGUCUAAAGGUUUUCAUUUGAAACAAAGCAAGAGCUUCUUUUCCCCACUCCGAAUUAAAACACAGCGCAACAGGGGCCACAUUUAUUUGGCAGGACAGUACCAAUAUGUGAACAUCCUCCUCCUCACUGCCGUUGGGGUGACUUGACUCAUAAGCAGCUGUUCUUACACAAAAUAUUAACCCGAACUGCUAGUGUCACACAGAAGGAAGUGGUCUUGAUUGUGUAUGUGGGCCAGCAUGUUCUACAAAUGCUGAAAGGUGGGAGAAGCACAAAUACAACCCACUCUUUAAAAAAACUAAAUAAUUCAAAGUAAAAUUUUCUAUCCCCGCCCCCUCCCCACCCUUGCCUUCUCCAAUAAUAAAAAGUAGAAUCCAG